CAACUGAGAGCAGGCCGUCGCCGCUGCCAUAGUCGUGGCUGUCGGCAACAGCCGGGCCCUCCGCCCUACGCGAUGCUUGAUUGCCUAAAAAUCUGCCUUUCACGAUUCCUCGCUCCCUUCGCCCGAUUUGGUGUGGAUUUGACGGACCGGCCGGUGACUCCUAGUAGAAAUUUAUUCCCCAUCUCCUGACCACGAGACUAGAAAUCUCUUAUGCCGAACAGAACAUGGUGUAAUUGGAUGAUUUCAUUGUCCGUAUAUUUUGAUUCAUGUCGAAAGUGUGUUUGCCUGGAAUCAAUUUUGGGCGUGGGUACUUGUGAGCUUUGAUUUAUUUAUUGUACACGGAUCACGGAUAGAGUUUGUAUAUUUACUUCUUGGUUCUGCUCACUUUCGUUGGCAU
Molecule: long non-coding RNA, 397 nt
Filed under: Brachypodium distachyon (stiff brome)
Lineage: Eukaryota; Viridiplantae; Streptophyta; Magnoliopsida; Poales; Poaceae
Description: long non-coding RNA (BDIS_LNC002727)
Source: RNAcentral